AUUAAACGCUGGCGGCAUGCCUUACACAUGCAAGUCGAACGGUAGCGCGGGGCAACCUGGCGACGAGUGGCGAACGGGUGAGUAAAGCAUCGGAACGUGCCCUGGAAUGGGGGAUAACGUAGCGAAAGUUACGCUAAUACCGCAUAUUCUGUGAGCAGGAAAGCAGGGGAUCGCAAGACCUUGCGUUCUGGGAGCGGCCGAUGUCGGAUUAGCUAGUUGGUGGGGUAAAAGCCUACCAAGGCGACGAUCCGUAGCGGGUCUGAGAGGAUGAUCCGCCACACUGGGACUGAGACACGGCCCAGACUCCUACGGGAGGCAGCAGUGGGGAAUUUUGGGACAAUGGGCGGAAGCCUGAUCCAGCCAUGCCGCGUGAGUGAAGAAGGCC
Molecule: ribosomal RNA, 385 nt
Filed under: uncultured bacterium
Lineage: Bacteria
Description: bacterial SSU rRNA
Rfam family: Bacterial small subunit ribosomal RNA
Source: RNAcentral